GGAAUUAGUUAGAGAGUUGUCAAAGGACAUUGAAUAACACUAAGACCACGAACCAAUCAGUUCAUAAACCGUGCAAUAACAGUUACCAUAGGAUACAUGGUUAAGACCUGAGAGAUACCUGACCGUUAACUUUGCCAAGUUCACCAAAUCACCAAAUCCAAAGGCCACAUAAUUGUUGAAAAAAGUAGUCAUCCCUGUUACCGUCACCUUGUGCAACGUUUUGUUGGCACAAGCCCGGAACCUCGAGAAUCCAACAAAGUGAAAUUUAACCGUCAUCUACAGAUAUAUAAAUCCUAUUUGCUUAUACAAACUACAUUUCAAUUUACAUGAGCUAUGAUUCCAUCACAGAAAAUUAUAACCAAGGAUUUUCUCAUCUGAUAAUAGGGAUUAUAACCCAGUUUCAAUGAUAAGUUCAGCAGCCGCACCCAUUGCACCAAUCCCACCAAGUCCCAGCAAGGCCACAGCCAGUUCUUCCUCGUUCCAUUGCCUCAAUCCCUUGCUCAGCCUCUUCAAUAAAUCAACAUUAACCUCACGCACCCAUGUUGGUGUGCAAGUCACCAUCAAGCUCAAAAACCCAGAUACAUAUGCUCGUGCAGUGGCCCAAUCACAACCAAGCGAUAUUUUCCCAUCUAGUGCACUUGCAAGAAAUUCUAAGUGAGACCCAAGGACCUUUGGCCGUCGUUUUGAUGGCGGUGAUUGUGAGUCCACACCCCAUGCAAAUGUCCCACAAAGCAUCACAAGGAAUGCAAGUGCAUAACCUCCAAGCAUAUUAACUACACCUCCAGAUUCUCCACCUUCCUGCUCUGACCCAUGGGCUGAUAUAAACCAAGAGGGUAAAGUUUCUUGGAUUAAAGAUUGAACCAAACUCAACCCACCUGAUAUCCAUACUAAAGAAGCUCCAAGUGAUGCUGCAAGCUUGACACGCAUCAUUGCUGCAGCAAGAGAAACUUGACCAUAUCUCAUCCCAUACUUCGCCCUCUUUAAUUUCUCCACGGUCUCUCUAGGUAACCCACUGUUUGCAAUAUCUUCAACAGAAUGCAUUAGAAUAGAGAGAAUUUUUUCUGUCAUGAACAUGACAUCUCUGAUAGAUCGAUGCACUCGUAAGUAGAGAAUUCCAGGGGCAACAGCCGAGAUCCCACCAGAUAAGUGAGAGCCAAAGCCAUGGCCUAGAAGGGCACCAACACCUCCAUUACUAGAAAUGUGAGGGGGGCUGAAUCCAAGAGUAGAAGUGAAGCAACUCUUCAGUAGCUGAACUACAGCAUCACCAUUGUGGUGGAAGACAGUGCCAGAAGCAGAGAACACAAGGAAGUCACUCCAACGCUUUACCUUCUGCGCCCAUAAGGCAGAUAUGAUGGGCAUGCAUGGCCAAGGGCAACCAGCAGCAAGGGCAUUCAAGGCUGGGCCAACCAGGACGAGGAACCGGUCAGACACUUUAUCAAGUCGAUAAGUGAUUGUGAGGCUUACUAGGGCAGCUAAAGGCAAAGGAAGUGUAGCUGGAGAGCUCCCCCCUACAGGAAGGCUUGGGAUGUCAACACCAGUGGCAGAAAGUAUUUUCUUUAUCUGUUGCUCAACAGUGGCUAAAUUGGCAGCAGGGCUAGGCCAAUCAGUUCCAUUCAUAAAAGCUGGCUUCCAUAUGCCCCGUGUAACUUCAGCUGAAAGGUAGCUGACAAUGGUGGCCAAAGAUGCAGGUAGGAAAUCAGCAAGAUCUUUGAGUCCUGUAGCCAGUUCACGGGGGGAUAAUCUUCCAUGGGCACAGGCUGUUAGAGCUGCAUCAAGUGCAAAUGGAGUUGCUUCUAGGAUAUCCCAUGCAGGUACUUGAAGUCCAACAUAAGCUUCCUCAGCUCCAGGGCCAGAUGAAUUACUACUUCCAGAAGUUGUAGAAGUCAGCGAUUGAACACUUCUGUUUAUCCUUCUGAACAUCAUAUUGAGGAGUGCAUCAACAAGCUGGUGAACAGGGGUACCAUGUACAAGACCAGAAAAUGUGGAAACAAUACAUUCUAUAUGUUGCCAGUACCAGCGUUUUAAUUGUGGAAAAGAAUCCAUGAAUAUGGGAUCUAAAGAUAUAUUUAAAUUUUUUGAGUAUCUUCUAAUUUUGAUGCGAUCCCUAGGCAAAGUUCCAAAAGAAGCUAAUUGGGAGUUCCGAACCAAUAAGAGGUACUCAGGGCCCACUUGGGAGCCCACUGGUGUUUUAUCUCCCAUCACAUUUUCAAGAGGUGGAUAAUGAAAUCUCCACAAUCUCACCAAAAGUGAGAAUGCAUUGGAGAACACUGCAUGACAAGAGAUUUCGUCCUCUGAUGGAAGAGUGCUUGAGACCUUGGGAACACUAGAACCAAAGACCUCGCAAAUGGGCAUCAAUGCACCUGCUAGUAGUGGAGCCAAACCAUGCAGGGAUAAAAUCUGUACACAAUCCACAGAUGCUAUUCCAACAAGCAGAACAUUCAAAAGUGGAGCAUAAUCAAUCAAGUAGCUCUCACUUCCAGAAUAAUCAGCAGGAACUGGUGGUGACAGCAAUUUUAUAAUGAAAAGAACGGUAUGUUCCUGUAUAUUCCAACCACGAAGAAGAGACGCUCCACAAAGAAUGUUAGCAGCAGUUAUCUUCUCAUCAUUGGAGCCACUGACUGCAAUCUCAUAUACUUUCUCGAUCUCUGGUAAACUUCCAUCAAAUCGAUGAGCUUAAAUUCAGUUGCCAUACCACUUGAAGCAGGAGUUGCCACCAAAAUGUUUAUCAUCGAGGGGGUUAGAGGUGACCCCUUCAUCAAUGAUGACCACCCAGGUAUUUGGCCAAGAACGCCACGAGGUAUUUGGUUGGAGUGUGCAUUCACGUACCCUGCCCAAAAAUAUGCUGAUGUGUCUAACAGAUUUCUUGCAAUGCAUGCCUCAACAAUCAGGUGCCUCAUGUUUCCAGAACAGUCAAUAGGCAUGUCAUUCAUGCUCAUGCUUUCAUAAUAGCUAUUACUACUGUUCACUCCCGAGAUAAACAGUGUAGCUUUUGCAGCAGCUUGAUUGGCUACUGAAGUAACAGACUGAGGUGGGGUCAACAAGCUAUCAUAAUCACCUAGCAAUUGUAAUGCAGUAAUAAGACCCCUGCGACAUUUUCCCAGACCUUGUUUCUCUUUCAUUUGGUCAGUAGGGCUGUGUUCAAUUUCAUCAAUCAGUUCACCUUCUUCUUCUUCAAUAAUAUUAGCCACUGCCAGUGUCGUAAUAGACAAUAGCAUGCACAAGCAGGUAUCAAUUCGAGGUACAGGACCCUCACUGGGUUCCCUUUCCCUUUGAACAAGCCGUAAAGCUGCAAUCCAGAGACCUAGAAAAGUAUCAUGCCAUGUGGUACCAUUAACUGCUUGCAGAGCUUUUACCAAACCUGUAAGAUUUUCUACAGCACCGAUUGCUGCCACUUGUGAUCCAUCCAUAGCAUCUUCUAGAAAAAGAUCAAUUGGAAGCCAGAGCACAGACCAACUAGCUCCAUGGCAUUGACCAGCAGAAGAUAUCAGAGAUCCAGAAGACAUGACAGCUUGAAAGUCUUGCUGUGAUUUUUUUUUGCACUCUUGAGACACAAGUGGUCGUGUAUCAGAUGUCAGCUGCAGAAGUAUCUCUGCAGUUAUAUGUUUUGAAUUCCUCAAGGCUGCUGAAUAUGCUGUGAGCUGCCGCACUCGCUGAAUAAAGCCCCGCCAGUGUGAAGGCAAGUUUUGUUGUGCCAAGUAGAGAAUCCUUGAAGUUACUUUGUUCUGCAGAAACUCUCCCAUUAGUUCAAUAGCCAUUGUAGUAUUUGCUUUGUGCAGCCCCUCGUGAAGCUCAUUUCUCUUCUCACCAAAAGUUUCAUGACCAUCUAUUUCCAAAUCUUGCAGGCUGGUUGGCCAUUUAGACUUCUUUUCUGAGGUAAGAUCCAGUAAACCUUCAUCAUCCAAUGA
RNAcentral lists this unclassified non-coding RNA (3905 nucleotides) under Hevea brasiliensis (rubber tree). The record is from RNAcentral. Lineage: Eukaryota; Viridiplantae; Streptophyta; Magnoliopsida; Malpighiales; Euphorbiaceae.